CAUAUACACAGGACUUCCCCAUUACAGGUCGGAAUCAGGACGGACUCCUUUAGCUGGGGCUUCCAUGUUCAACGGCUGUCACAGCAUUUUUUAUAUCCUAAGGAAGACUAUGUGUGGCUAUCACCACAGAAAUUUCUCACAAUACUCUGGAAGAAGCAGUGUUAUGGGAAAAGAACAUCUCAUCUUUAGGAAAACAGCAAAAGGCAAAUAUAGUGUCACAAGCAGAAAGAAGCAGCAUUGCACAGUGGGCUGGAACUCUUAGGAGGAAAUUGAUACUUCCAGGAUGAAAAUGGAACAGAACCAAGACAUUAUAAUGAGAGUCAUUUGGUGCUAGAGAAGUCCCCUUAAAAAUGGUGCAUAGUCAACUUGCAACGUGAUCAUUACAGGCUAUUUUCCUUGUUCACAUUCUCAACAUAAAUGCUUUGGAAGAGGCAACGGUAUUUUA
Mesocricetus auratus (golden hamster) is the source of this 445-nucleotide long non-coding RNA. RefSeq lists it as uncharacterized. The record is from RefSeq and is a predicted model, not a curated record. The transcript has 3 exons. Lineage: Eukaryota; Metazoa; Chordata; Mammalia; Rodentia; Cricetidae.